RNAcentral lists this ribosomal RNA (496 nucleotides) under uncultured bacterium. RNAcentral's name for it is "partial 16S ribosomal RNA". It matches the Rfam family "Bacterial small subunit ribosomal RNA", at positions 28 to 507 of the family's 1533-position model. The record is from RNAcentral.
GAUGAACGCUGGCGGCGUGCCUAAUACAUGCAAGUCGAGCGAACAGACGAGGAGCUUGCUCCUCUGAUGUUAGCGGCGGACGGGUGAGUAACACGUGGAUAACCUACCUAUAAGACUGGGAUAACUUCGGGAAACCGGAGCUAAUACCGGAUAAUAUAUUGAACCGCAUGGUUCAAUAGUGAAAGACGGUUUUGCUGUCACUUAUAGAUGGAUCCGCGCCGCAUUAGCUAGUUGGUAAGGUAACGGCUUACCAAGGCAACGAUGCGUAGCCGACCUGAGAGGGGAAUCGGCCACACUGGAACUGAGAAACGGUCCAGACUCCUACGGAAGGCAGAGGAGGGAAUCUUCCGCAAUGGGCGAAAGCCUGACGGAGCAACGCCGCGUGAGUGAUGAAGGUCUUCGGAUCGUAAAACUCUGUUAUUAGGGAAGAACAAAUGUGUAAGUAACUAUGCACGUCUUGACGGUACCUAAUCAGAAAGCCACGGCUAACUACGUG